This 253-nucleotide ribosomal RNA is filed under the name uncultured bacterium. Its description in RNAcentral is "partial 16S ribosomal RNA". It matches the Rfam family "Bacterial small subunit ribosomal RNA", at positions 524 to 776 of the family's 1533-position model. The record is from RNAcentral.
UACGUAGGGUGCGAGCGUUAAUCGGAAUUACUGGGCGUAAAGCGUGCGCAGGCGGUUUUGUAAGCCAGAUGUGAAAUCCCCGGGCUUAACCUGGGAAUGGCAUUUGGGACUGCAAGGCUGGAGUGCGGCAGAGGAGACUGGAAUUCCUGGUGUAGCGGUGAAAUGCGCAGAUAUCAGGAGGAACACCGAUUGCGAAGGCAGCUCGCUGGAACGUUACUGACGCUGAGACGCGAAAGCGUGGGGAGCAAACAGG